UUUCCGCAAUGGGCGAAAGCCUGACGGAGCAAUACCGCGUGAGGGAGGAAGGCUUUUGGGUCGUAAACCUCUUUUCUCAGGGAAGAAGACAAUGACGGUACCUGAGGAAUAAGCAUCGGCUAACUCCGUGCCAGCAGCCGCGGUAAUACGGAGGAUGCAAGCGUUAUCCGGAAUGAUUGGGCGUAAAGGGUCCGCAGGUGGUACUGUAAGUCUGCUGUUAAAGAGCAAGGCUCAACCUUGUAAAAGCAGUGGAAACUACAGAACUAGAGUGCGUUCGGGGCAGAAGGAAUUCCUGGUGUAGCGGUGAAAUGCGUAGAUAUCAGGAAGAACACCAGUGGCGAAAGCGUUCUGCUAGGCCGCAACUG
This 365-nucleotide ribosomal RNA is filed under the name cyanobiont of Azolla pinnata imbricata 2. RNAcentral's name for it is "bacterial SSU rRNA". It matches the Rfam family "Bacterial small subunit ribosomal RNA", at positions 363 to 742 of the family's 1533-position model. Lineage: Bacteria; Bacillati; Cyanobacteriota. The record is from RNAcentral.